GACGAACGCUGGCGGCGUGCUUAACACAUGCAAGUCGAGCGGAAAGGCCACUUCGGUGGUACUCGAGCGGCGAACGGGUGAGUAACACGUGAGUAAUCUGCCCCUGGCUUUGGGAUAGCCACCGGAAACGGUGAUUAAUACCGGAUACGACCACUUCUCGCAUGGGAUGGUGGUGGAAAGUUUUUUCGGCCAGGGAUGUGCUCGCGGCCUAUCAGCUUGAUGGUGGGGUAAUGGCUCACCAUGGCUUCGACGGGUAGCCGGCCUGAGAGGGUGACCGGUCACACUGGGACUGAGACACGGCCCAGACUCCUACGGGAGGCAGCAGUGGGGAAUGUUGGACAAUGGGCGGAAGCCUGAUCCAGCAACGCCGCGUGAGGGAUGACGGCCUUCGGGUUGUAAACCUCUUUCAGCAGGGACGAAGCGCAAGUGACGGUACCUGCAGAAGAAGCACCGGCCAACUACGUGCCAGCCGCCGCUGUAA
Molecule: ribosomal RNA, 481 nt
Filed under: uncultured bacterium
Lineage: Bacteria
Description: partial 16S ribosomal RNA
Rfam family: Bacterial small subunit ribosomal RNA
Source: RNAcentral